GGAUCGCGGCGACGUGGGCGGUUCGCCGCCGAUGACGUCGCGAGAAGUCCACUGAACCUUAUCAUUUAGAGGAAGGAGAAGUCGUAACAAGGUUUCCGUAGGUGAACCUGCGGAAGGAUCAUUG
RNAcentral lists this ribosomal RNA (124 nucleotides) under Eugenia bacopari. RNAcentral's name for it is "partial 18S ribosomal RNA". It matches the Rfam family "Eukaryotic small subunit ribosomal RNA", at positions 1712 to 1831 of the family's 1831-position model. Lineage: Eukaryota; Viridiplantae; Streptophyta; Magnoliopsida; Myrtales; Myrtaceae. The record is from RNAcentral.